AAUAGAGCUGUGAACCGGUUUUAGGUUAACCGGUUAACCGACUGGUUACAGCAUAAUUUAGGUUAUCAGUUAUUUUUAGCUAUAACCGGUUUUAUGAAAUUAAUGAUUUUAUGCACUGUGAAGUUAAAAUUUAUCAUAUUUCAGGCAAGAACACUUCCAAUAUCUAGUAAAUUGAACUUUGUGACCCACAAGACAAUGCCAUAUAUCAUUGAAAAGAGCAUAUAAGUUGUGUUGGCCAACUAAAUCAAACUCUACAAUUUAUUAUUUAUCGUAAUUCUUACUAUUCUUACAUAUUUAUAGUGGUAUUAUUAAGUUUCAUUUAACAAUCAGUUAACCGAUUAACCGUCAGUUAUUGGUGACCAGUUAACCGGUUAUGCUAAGUGGCCCAGGUUCACAGCUCUACUGUGUAACAUCAGCACUGAGAUAUUAUGAUCCCAUCAUAAAGAAACACAAAUGCACCAAUCCUUACAUCACUUCACUAACAUGUACACAGUCCCAGCUACUGAUUGGUACCUCUACUGGUGUCCUUAUUACACUAUCGCUAGUGGGAGGAGCUAACACUCAUCAACUCCACCCACUAAUCAGAGGUCACAUUGAUAGAGUGAGUACCCUUGUAUCAGUUCCACCCACACACACUAAUAGUAGUUAUCAAGUGUUCAUAAGUGGUGGCCAUGGGUUAAUUGGAGGAUAUUAAUAAAGCAAGAGCUUGUGAUGAUGUAUCAGAGACCGAGGGGUGUCUUUUCUUUUGGUAUUUAUCGUCUACUAAGAAUCAACAGCUGCACUGACUGACUGUCACAUGACUAUCACAUGAUUAAUAGAAUUUUAUUGUUUGUGUAUGUUUUAAGAUUAGCAUGACAUUAUAAAUAGAAUUUGUGUAUCAUUAA
Long non-coding RNA from Amphimedon queenslandica, 884 nucleotides. RefSeq lists it as uncharacterized. The record is from RefSeq and is a predicted model, not a curated record. NCBI's taxonomy places the organism in Eukaryota, Metazoa, Porifera, Demospongiae, Haplosclerida, Niphatidae. The transcript is spliced from 2 exons.